RNAcentral lists this unclassified non-coding RNA (1680 nucleotides) under Hevea brasiliensis (rubber tree). The record is from RNAcentral. Lineage: Eukaryota; Viridiplantae; Streptophyta; Magnoliopsida; Malpighiales; Euphorbiaceae.
GCCAGAAACAACAAAAUAUGGGAGGGGAAAAAAGAAUAAAUAAAACAAUGCAUUAACAACUUGUCUCAAUAGUUCCACAACUGUACAAAAUGCUGGAAACACAACCAGGUACAGGAAAUAAAUUCCACUAGGUAUCACCAAUUCUGCUCUUAAGCUUGAGGAUCUUCACCUUCAUCACUUCAGAAAAGACGACUGUCUAGAAUAAAGGUCAAAUCACAGAUCAUUUUACUGUUUUUGAGUGUUUGAUAAGCCAGUCAAUGACAACAUCUAUGUUUAUUGAGUCCUUGCAUGAAAUCAUAUAGCAGCACACCUCUCUAUCCGUAAUUGAUUCAAGACCUCUGAAACCAAAAAAUAAAUAAGAAUUGUUUUACCAUUUAUGGAUAUGAAUCAAUACAAAAUCCAACAUCAUUAAUAAAGUAAUUUUCUCUAAAAACUUUCUAACUCACAGCUGAUCCACCAAAGCUUGCUUUGAAAGAGCUUCAGACCUGUCGAUUUUGUUACCAAGAACAAGCAAAGGAAUUCCACUCAAGGAGGGUUUUACCAGGAGGUCAUGCAAUUCACUUCGAGAUAUUGGAACACUGUCUCUAUCAGCAGCAUCAACUACAUAUCUGCGCUUGCAUCAAUUGAAGAGGUAAAUAUGUAGUUAAUUAGUCCAUUUGAAGGCCAAGGAGAAUGCAACAUCAACCAUUGUCCACUAUUGCUCUCUCAAACUGAAGGAGCGAAGGAAAAAGGAAAACUCAAAAAUCUUACAACAGUGUGGGUCAAAGGACUUCCAAUAGGAUUCCAAUUUUAAGUUCGUCCUCUAUUUCAGUUUCCAAAAGACAGAAUAUUUAGCAAAUCUGUAUGAUGAGGUCCCUUAGACUGCUUUUAUGCUAUUUUUUAAGUCAGUGCAUUUCAGAUUACCUGGAAUUGAGACAUGCAAACUAGCAUUGUUAUUUAUUUAUUAUUAUUUUAAUGACCCCAUCCAGCAGAAAAGAGAAGGAUAGAGAAAACAGGCGCUCCUUUUGCAGUUAUACACGCACAACUAGAUGGAGAAGAACUUCUCAUAUCCAAAACAACAGAGUAAAUUCUAUUCUGGGCAUUAAAAUUCAAACCCAGCAUACUUCUUGAUUUUAAACACCACCUGCACUUCAGUUAAAACAUGACACAGAUUCAAAGCAUUUUGUAGCAUAUUUAAGCUCAAAAAAGAAAGAAGGUUGUAAAAGUAGUCCAAAGAUGGAGGUCGAAAUCAGGAGUCAAUUAAAAUGUUAACAGAAUUUUAUAUGAGGUCAAUUGUCUGGGUCUGUUCUAACUUCUAAGGUCUCUUGUUCUUGCAAACUGGAAAUUUGCUUGUCCUCAAAAAUCAAUGCAUUCUACUAAAUAAAAUAAUAUAGGGAAGUUAUAUAGUAUUAAAUUCAUAAAGAGACUAGGAAGUAUUACAGAAUCGCAGAGACCCCACGACAGUAACGCUCCCACAUGCUUCGAAAUCUCCGCUGCCCUCCAAGAUCCCAGAGCUUUAUUGUCACAUUUCCUUUUGUAACUUUCCUCAUAUUGAAUCCAACAGUUGGAAUCAUGUCCUCACUGUAUCCUCCGGUAGCAACUGCAUUAACAAGAGACGUCUUUCCUGCAUUCUGGAGGCCUACAAGGGAUAGCUCCAUUUCCUGUUUAAAGAAUAAACUCCGGAGCCAGUUCAGAAGGGAA